AAUAGAUACCCCGGUAGUCCACGCCGUAAACGGUGGGUACUAGGUGUGGGUUUCCUUCCUUGGGAUCCGUGCCGUAGCUAACGCAUUAAGUACCCCGCCUGGGGAGUACGGCCGCAAGGCUAAAACUCAAAGGAAUUGACGGGGGGCCCGCACAAGCGGCGGAGCAUGUGGAUUAAUUCGAUGCAACGCGAAGAACCUUACCUGGGUUUGACAUGCACAGGACGCCGGCAGAGAUGUCGGUUCCCUUGUGGCCUGUGUGCAGGUGGUGCAUGGCUGUCGUCAGCUCGUGUCGUGAGAUGUUGGGUUAAGUCCCGCAACGAGCGCAACCCUUGUCCUAUGUUGCCAGCGGGUUAUGCCGGGGACUCGUAGGAGACUGCCGGGGUCAACUCGGAGGAAGGUGGGGAUGACGUCAAGUCAUCAUGCCCCUUAUGUCCAGGGCUUCACACAUGCUACAAUGGCCGGUACAAAGGGCUGCGAUGCCGUGAGGUGGAGCGAAUCCUUGGUAAAGCCGGUCUCAGUUCGGAUCGGGGUCUGCAACUCGACCCCG
RNAcentral lists this ribosomal RNA (547 nucleotides) under uncultured bacterium. RNAcentral's name for it is "bacterial SSU rRNA". It matches the Rfam family "Bacterial small subunit ribosomal RNA", at positions 777 to 1320 of the family's 1533-position model. The record is from RNAcentral.